Molecule: ribosomal RNA, 343 nt
Filed under: uncultured bacterium
Lineage: Bacteria
Description: partial 16S ribosomal RNA
Rfam family: Bacterial small subunit ribosomal RNA
Source: RNAcentral
CCUACGGGAGGCAGCAGUGGGGAAUAUUGCACAAUGGGGGAAACCCUGAUGCAGCAACGCCGCGUGAAGGAAGACGGUUUUCUGAUUGUUAACUUCUGUUCGUAGUGAAGUAUAAUGACGGUAGCUAAGGAGCAAGCCACGGCUAACUACGUGCCAGCAGCCGCGGUAAUACGUAGGUGGCAAGCGUUGUCCGGAUUUACUGGGUGUAAAGGGAGCGCAGGCGGGAAGCCAAGUCAGCUGUGAAAACUACGGGCUUAACUUGUAGACUGCAGUUGAAACUGGUUUUCUUGAGUGAAGUAGAGGUUGGCGGAAUGCAGAGUGUAGCGGUGAAAUGCGUAGAGAU